This is a long non-coding RNA of Belonocnema kinseyi, 431 nucleotides long. RefSeq lists it as uncharacterized. NCBI's taxonomy places the organism in Eukaryota, Metazoa, Arthropoda, Insecta, Hymenoptera, Cynipidae. The transcript is spliced from 3 exons. The record is from RefSeq and is a predicted model, not a curated record.
UUCUGAGCGAUCGUGGAAUUCCAAUAAGAAGCUCUUCGGCAGUGUAAGCGUGUACAUCAUUUUCUUAAGUUUCUGUAUCUACCCGACAAGAAAAAAAUCUCAAGAUGCCUUCUCCCUGUGGUGACGACAAAUGCAAAGACAAAUGCGGCGGAGACUGCAAAUGCGGAGAUAACUGCAAAUGCUGUGAUUCCGGAAGUGGAGAAAAAUGCAACUGCAAAAGUGGCGGACAGUGCACCUGCAAACAGGGCUCUUGCCAAUGUUAAGGAUUCCGAAUAGAAAAUAUGUCACCGCUGCAUCUAAAAUUUUUUCUUUUUUUAUUUUCUUUGUUCAAAAUAUUCUUUCACGAUGUCUUAGGUUUUUAAAAUUGUACACGGAUUAUCCAAUUUAUGUUACCUACUCGUAGGAUGAUUAUAAUACAUUAGUUAAUCUUA